UGUCUGAGCGUUGACAGUCUCUGCUGAAACUCUAGACCCGAAACGCAAACGCUUGUCAACACAAGAGGGGGGCACGCAACUAAGCAACAACAUCACGAUUGAUGGCUGUCACACAAAUUUUGACAUAACAAAUGUCAAUUGAGGCGACAGCGGAAUUUCCUGUGCAGAUAAAGCAACCAAGAUAGACAGAUAUAUAAUAUAUAUAUAUAUGUAUAUAUAUAUAUAUAUAUAGACAGAUAGAAAAGAUUUUGUCAUCGUGUUUGCCUACAAAAAGAGCGGACCCCAUCGGGGCCCAUCGAUUAUUGUACUUUGGGGGGAGUGUUUCUGAAACAUGUGUCUCCGAGUUCUUGGGAAACGAAACUGCUUUCGGUUUUUGAAUAAAUUACACAGAAUGUAACAGA
Molecule: long non-coding RNA, 401 nt
Organism: Drosophila grimshawi
Lineage: Eukaryota; Metazoa; Arthropoda; Insecta; Diptera; Drosophilidae
Exons: 2
Source: RefSeq, a predicted model, not a curated record